UCCCCCGUGGUGUAAUUGGUAAGCACUGUGGCUUUUGGUGCCAUCUGUCCGGGUUCGAGUCCUGGCGGGGGAGCCC
RNAcentral lists this transfer RNA (76 nucleotides) under Streptomyces viridochromogenes DSM 40736. Its description in RNAcentral is "tRNA-Gln". It matches the Rfam family "tRNA". From Rfam's summary of the family: Transfer RNA (tRNA) molecules are approximately 80 nucleotides in length. Their secondary structure includes four short double-helical elements and three loops (D, anti-codon, and T loops). Lineage: Bacteria; Bacillati; Actinomycetota; Actinomycetes; Kitasatosporales; Streptomycetaceae. The record is from RNAcentral.